This is a long non-coding RNA of Sinocyclocheilus anshuiensis, 140 nucleotides long. RefSeq lists it as uncharacterized. The transcript has 3 exons. NCBI's taxonomy places the organism in Eukaryota, Metazoa, Chordata, Actinopteri, Cypriniformes, Cyprinidae. The record is from RefSeq and is a predicted model, not a curated record.
UUUAAAUGGUUUUCAUUAGACUAUGCUUGGAAUUGUGUAAUUACUUAGUUUGUCCAGCAGAGCGCACUCUAUUGUUUGCUACUGCAGACUUGGAUGAAACGCUUUAAAGCUUAGUCUAUGGAAAACCAUUGAAACUUUGA